This 292-nucleotide ribosomal RNA is filed under the name uncultured bacterium. RNAcentral describes it as "partial 16S ribosomal RNA". It matches the Rfam family "Bacterial small subunit ribosomal RNA", at positions 505 to 796 of the family's 1533-position model. The record is from RNAcentral.
GUGCCAGCAGCCGCGGUAAGACGAACCGUGCGAACGUUGUUCGGAAUCACUGGGCUUAAAGGGCGCGUAGGUGGUCUGCCGAGUCGGGGUUGAAAUCUUUCGGCCCAACCGGAAAAGUGGCUUCGAUACUGGCAGGCUGGAGGGGGGUAGGGGCGGAUGGAACUUCCGGUGGAGCGGUGAAAUGUGUUGAUAUCGGAAGGAACGCCGGUGGCGAAAGCGAUCCGCUGGACCCUUACUGACACUGAGGCGCGAAAGCCAGGGGAGCAAACGGGAUUAGAUACCCCCGUAGUCC